UACGGUCACUUCACGUUGAAACACCAGUUCUCGUACGAUCACCGAAGUUAAGCACCAUCGAGCCUGGUCAGUACCUAAAUGGGUAACCACAAGAAAAUACCAUGUGCUGUAA
This is a non-coding RNA of Acanthosepion pharaonis, 112 nucleotides long. Lineage: Eukaryota; Metazoa; Mollusca; Cephalopoda; Sepiida; Sepiidae. The record is from the annotation of a GenBank genome assembly.